CCUGUUGUAAAACCUAUUCCUGUUCCAAUAUAUAAACCUACACCAAAAUUAAUUCCCAUCAUUAAACCAAUUCCAAUUGUUAAACCUGUACCAAAACCUUUUACAGUGCAAAAACCCAUCCCCGCUAUUGACCCAGAGUCUUUUCUAAAGCCGAAGCCUUUCUUUGAGAAACCUAUUCCUAAAUUGCCACUUGACCCUAAAUUCAAGAAACCACUUCUGCCACCUUUCCCAAUUCAAAAGCCAAUUUCAAGUCCAUAAGAUGAUAAGACUUUACCACCUCUCACUAAAAAAUAUCUUGCUUAGACGAUCUAUUUCUAACUCCUAUUUAUGUGCUCUAUAUCUCAAAAUUAUUAGUUGCACUUGAUAAUCCUAGGGUAUCUCUCUUUAUGUUGGAAUACCUAUAUAGUUAAUGUUAUCUCCUCAAUAAAGUUCUCAAUAUUUGCGGUUGUUAAUCAAUUUUAUAUUAAUACAAUUACAAAGAGUGGGUUGAUUUUCCCUUUUUAAAAUAACAUUUUUUAAUUUUAUUAUAUUUUUGUGAGAUUAUAUUUUGAGCAAGGAUACUCGUAAAUCGUAAUAAACUAAAUAAUCACGAGAAAAAAAUAUGCCUGUGUUAUAAGCUAAAACAAAUGCAUACUCAUUUGUUUCUUAAAAGCAACAUAAUAUAUUGCAAACUAAGUAUAACUUUAAGUUUGGUCAAAUAUUAAAAAAGUAUAACUUGCUAAUAUAUUCAUUCUCGAAUGAGAGUAUAUUAACAGUUUUAAAUACUAUGUAGGGAUUAUAUUCUGACACUAGGUACUUUAACAAAUGACAUUGUUUUAAGCAUUUAACAUUUUAGUGACAUAAAAAAUGUCACCAAAAGAUUUUAGGAACAUUUUUAAAGGUAUGUGUAGUAGUGUAACUACAUGUAUAUUAAUUAAGAAAGGGUGGGAUACACUACAUUAUUUUAGCAUUUAACAAAGUUUUACUCUUGUUAUUAUAAAAAAUAAAAAUAAAAAUAAAAAUAAAAACGUUCUCAUUGAGAACAAUGAUCUCCACGCGGUAAUUUGAAAGUAGGAAUCAGUAACUUGCAAAUAAAAUGACCCCCGAAAGGACACAUUGCUGGCAGAAGGCCAACUCAGUUUUAAAGAGUGUUGUUAUGAAAAAAUAUUGUUGCUGAGAGUGAUGAUCCCGACAUGGUACUUAGAAAGGAGGGAUAGGUAACAUGCACACAAAUACUACCAAUUACAAAUUACAAAUUACGUACUGCACAUUAAACUUGUACCAAAACACUAGAAAUUUCAUAAUAACGACCAAUUCAAUUUUAAGGAGUGUCAUUAUUAUGAAAAAUGUUGUCAUUGAGAGUGGUGGGUUCAGCGCACUACUUAAGAAGGAGGGAUCACUAGCUUGAACAAGAAAGGAUAUUAGAAAUUUCAUAGUACUGGCUGUUAGAUGACCAACUCAAUUUUAAUUAUUGUUGUUAUUUUAAGGGGAGUUCAAAUGGCAGACACAAGAAAAAUAAUAUAUUUAAAUCUCUUUAAUUUAAUAGUUAUUUAAUUUUUAGAAAAUUUCUUUCAAAUAAAAUAUUUAAUGAUGAAAAAAUAAAUACCUCUUAUAUUUUAAUAUAUCGAAUUUAAAAAAUUUUACUAACCAAAAGUAUCCUUAAAAAGAAAUGUGAAUGGACAUGUUUGCAGAAGACACAUUUCAAAUGUUAAAAAAGUAGAAAAAUACAUGGAAAUAGAAUAAAUUUAGAUGUCUUUUACUUAAUAAUUAUUUAAUUUUUACAAAAUUUGUUUCAAAUAAAAUAUUUAAUGAUGAAAAUCGUAAAUAACUUUCAUAUUUUAAUAUAUUAAAUUAAAUCAUUUUAUUUUCCGAAAUUCCUAUUAAAGUAUCAAGAAAAUGCAUUACAGAUGGACAUGUUUAUGUUUGAAGACACCUUUCAAACCUUAAAAAUAAUAUGGAAAUACUAAGUACAUUCAAGUUAAUAAUUUUUUUACAACACAAAGGUCUUGAACAUAAAAUACCUGUUUAGCUUGUUCUGUCAUGAUGAAAGGGUCAUUCUGGUAAGCUAGUUUCUUUAGGUCUAUCAACGUAAAUCCUACAUCAUCGAUCCGCACACCGGUGUUUACAGAUGGACAUGUUUAUGUUUGAAGACACCUUUCAAACUUUAAAAAUAAUAUGGAAAUACUAAGUACAUUCAAGUUAAUAAUUUUUUUACAACACAAAGGUCUUGAACAUAAAAUACCUGUUUAGCUUGUUCUGUCAUGAUGAAAGGGUUAUUCUGGUAAGCUAGUUUCUUUAGGUCUAUCAACGUAAAUCCUACAUCAUCGAUCCGCACACCGGUGUUGCUGUCAAUCCAUUUAGAUUUGAAAACACAAACAAUAAAUUUGACAUAGUUAAGCUCCCAAAUUUCAUCAAUGAACCCAAAAUAAGGGAUGGAAGCUACACAGGGAUUAUCAUCAUGUACACUAGCAAAGUGUUGAGAUUCAACCCUUAGGGUGACCCCACUGUUUUGCAUUGUACUUUUCUCAUCUUGUGCUUUUGUAUAAAAGGAAUACUUGUUUAUGUCGUAUCCUUGCCAAGUUAUAACAUUUCUUUUAGGCCCAUGUGCUAGCUUUCUUAAUGUUUCAGAAGCAUUUUCAUCAGCAAAGAUUGUAUCUUUAAACCAAUCAAAGAAAGUCUUGUUAUGCUUUUUCAAGACCCAAUUCUUUGACAUUUUUGGAUUACUUUGUUUGACUAAACCUUCAUGCUGAAGUAUGUAUGGCAAAACUUCAUUACUGUUAUUCAAGACAUACAAGUGAGCUUGUAACAAAUCUUCUACACUUGGAGUGAUAACAUGCAGUCCUCUUGAAUCCUUACUGCCCACUCUGUCAUCAUGCCGAGACUCGGGAAGCCCAACAAGUUUAGCCUUUUCAAUGUACUCUGAACAAAAUUCAAUGGCUUCUUCUGCAAUGUACCUUUCAACAAUAGAUGCUUCGGGACGAUGUAGAUUCUUCAUAUACCCUUUUAAGAUCUUCAUGUAUCGCUCAACCGAGUACAUCCACCGCAAAUAAAUAGGACCACAACAUUUGAUUUCUCUAAUCAGAUGAACAAUUAAGUGAACCAUGAUGUCAAAGAAAGCAGGAGGAAAAUACAUCCAACUAGCAUAGUAUAAUUGUAGCCUCAUUUUCCAGGUCAUCAAACUUGACAUGAUCAAGGACUUUGCUACAUAUGGCAUUGAAAAAAAAAGCACAGGCAAGUUAUGACUAACCUGACUUUGUUAGGCAAAAUUUCUUGUAUGGCCACGGCUAACAAUUGUUGCAUCAAGACGUGACAAUCGUGAGACUUUAACCCUACCAGCUUAAGCUCCUUCAACUGCACAAGGCUCUUCAUAUUUGAAGAGUAUCCUUGUGGGACUUUGACCCGCCACAGACACUGAUAAAAACUUAUCUUCUCCUUUUUCAACAAAGUAUGACAAGCUGGAGGCAAGUAUAAUUUUUUCCCAUCAGACCUUGGAUGCAACUGCGAUCGUAUGCCCAACUCAGCUAGAUCUUGACGGGUAUUCAAGCCAUCUUUCGUCUUGCCUUGAAUGUUAAAGAGCGUCCCAAUGACACUAUCACAUACAUUUUUCUUCAUAUGCAUAACAUCAAUACAAUGUCUAAUGUCAAGGUCAGACCAGUAUGGAAGAUCAAAGAAAUAGACCUCUUCUUCCAUAUGCAAGUCUUACUUUUUUCCUUCUUUUGGGUCUUUCCAAAUAUAGUAUUCAAGUGUUGAAUCCGCUAGAAGUCCUGCUCACCAGUCAACGGUAUCAGCACAGUUUCGUGUUCUUGACUUCCAUUAAAUGCUUUUUUCAAUCGCCUGUAAGGAUGAUGAGGUUUUAAAAAAUGUUGAUGCCUAGUGUACACUAUUUUUUUUACCAUGUUUCAGUUAUAUGUAGCUUGUGUCUUCUUCACAGAUGGGGCAUGCAUGAUGACCCUUAACACUGUAACCACUUAUAUUUCCAUAUGCUUGAAAGUCAUUAAUGUUACAAAAAAGCAUUGCACGCAUUUGAAAAGUCUCAUUUUGAAACCCAUCAAACACUAAACCCCCCUCAUCCCACAACUUUGUCAGGUCUUCAAUCAAUGGACUUAGAUAAACAUCAAUGUCAUUUCUUGGCUGUCUUGGGCCCGAUAUCAUCAUAGACAACAUCAUGUAUUUUUGCUUCAUGCACAACCAAGGAGGAAAAUUAUAAAUUACUAGUAGAAUUGGCCAUGAACUGUGUUGAGUGCUUAAAUUACCAUAUGGAUUCAUUCCAUCACUGCCUAGUCUAAGCCUAAGAUUUCUUGCCUCUUGCCGAAAUCCAAAAACAAAUGAUCUAUCUUCUUCCACUGCGAGCAAUCAGCCGGAUGACGGACCAUUCCAUCGCAUUUUCUCCCUAUUGCAUGUCAUGUAAGGUCUUUAGCGUCGUCUCCAUUAGCAAAAAGAUGCUUAAACCUUAGAACAAUCGGCAGAUACCACAACACCUUCAUUGGGGGGCCCUUCUUUGAGUUUUCAUCACUACUACACUUCUCAUCAUUCUUCACUUUGUACCAUCAUAACCCACACCUAGGGCAUUUGGACAUUUCUUCAAAUUUAUGUUUGUACAGUAUGCAAUCAUUCGGGCAAGCAUGAAUCUUCUAAUACUCCAUACCCAUAGGACACAGUACCUUUUUUGCCUGAUAGUAACUUUUAGGCUACGUGUUUUCCUCUGGAAGCAUAUCGUGCACUACUUGAACCAGUGAAAUAAAGCUUUUGUCACUCCACCCAUAUCUGGACUUGACAUUAACUAGACUUAACACCGUAGACAAUAGUGUCAACGAAUUCUUGCACCCCGGAUACAAAGGCUUCUUUGAAUCAGUUUGCAAUGUAUCAUACAUAGGGGCAUGUGUUUGUUAAAAAGACUCUUGUCCAAGGUCACGAAUCAUAUCCUCCAAGCCAUCUCCCAUUUCUACAUCAAACGGUUCAGAUUGGGGCCCACUUUAGUUGUCUGUCAUUCCACCAUGCCAUAUCCACGUUGUAUAAUUCCUCUUGAUUCCAUUACACAACAGAUGGUCUCGUAUGUCAUCAACUUUUUGCCAUCUCCCGUUCAAACAAUUUAUGCAUGGACAAAAAAACUUGUCAUUUUCAUCUAGUCGACUUCUUUCUGAAGCAAAUUGCAGGAACUGUUCAACGCCUUCCUCAUAUGCAGAGCUCAAUCGGCUUUCAUUCAUCCAACUUCGAUCCAUCUAAAUAAUAACUGAUUCAUACUCUGAAACUCAUUCAAUGCAUGAUAUCUCACUUUUUCAUUUAAGGUGUGGCCCUAUCCCAUUCAGGAAGACACAUUUUUAUGGUAGAUUCAGGCGUUAAGAUUAAUCUUAUUUUGUUAAAUUUGAUAAAAUUUUGACAGCAUUUCACAUUGGUCUCCAAGUACACGAUACAAAAUCGGUGACAUUAAUUUGUCGAUAAUCAUGUAUGCACUUAGAGAACAACUAGAGAUGCAUUGUACCAUAAUUUCAUCAAAUUAAACAAAAUAAUGUUAACCUUAACACAUGAAUCAACCAUAAAAAUGGGAGUCUCCCCAAACUGUCCAAACGGACAAUUUAAGAUUGAAUACAAUGAUUAAUGCACACUUUCUGCAAGAAUCAUUGUAUUCAAUCUCAAAUGGGAAUCUAAGGCUAACUCAUUAUGAAAAAAAGUUUAAUCUAAAGCAAAGCACAUUAAUGACAUACAAUUUAAAUACAGUGACAUCUAACACAACACAAUAGAUCGGUAAGAACCCUAACCAAACAAGAAAGCAAUGGACGCUAAGUUAGAGCAACAGACGGUGGAGGUAUCCACUCUCGUCACACGUGCCGCUCAUGAUAAGUCCUCUGAUUCGUUAGCAUCGCUAACGAAACCAACGAGUUAUCAUGAGCAACGGGUGUGACGAGAGUGGAUACCUCCACCGUCUGUUGCCCUAACUCGGCAGCCAUUACUUUCUUAUUUGGUUAUGGUUCUUACCGAUCUAUUGUGUUGUCUUAUAUCUGAAAAGAGAAACUAGCUAACUAAUCGAAACCAGCGGUAUAUAUAUAUAUAUAUAUAUAUAUAUAUAUAUACAUACAUACAAGUCCGUACGUACGUACCUAGAAUUGCUAUAAUCAAAGACCUUCCAGAGCAACACGAAUUACCAGUAGCAAAUGAUAACCUGGCAAAAUGUGAAACAAAAUUUAAUGAUUUAUAUUACAAAUUGCCAAGUAGUUAGUUAUUUACCAAGUACAUUACAUCUAGUAGCUUCUAUUUCUAUUCUUUGGUAAUUUACUCUCCUUGCCAAUUUUCCUUCUAUUUACUAAACUUAAUAUUUAUUAGUUUAUUCCUUCUUAAUCUAGUUUUUUUUCAUCGGCCAGUUGACUCACUAAGUAACCCACUAUUUGGUUCAUUGUCACCUAACUAACUAACAGACCUAUGAAACAGCCUCUUAAGUUGCAGCGCCGGGGGCAAUGCUACUAUUUCAUUGCCAGGGGCAUCAAUUGAGUGAUUUGGGUGGUAGGGAGUGAUGUAGCUCCGUUGGAGCUUGUAGGCCUUGGAUCUUCUUCAUCAAUGAAGUCCUUUGCUUCUUAAAUUUUAAUGGCAGCGGAAUGGAGAAGAAGAGGAGUUGAGAGGAGACACCACUUAAAGGAGAAUAUGAGUCAAGAAGAAGCUCACCACCAUAGGAAGCCAUGAAUAAGAGCUUGGAGGUAGGAGAAGAAGAAUGGAGGGAGAAGAAGAGAGAGAUCACGAAAUUUGUGCCUCAAAAGAGGUCUGAACUUUGAAGUGUAAUUCUCAAAUGAUCAAAGUUAAAAAAUGCACACACAUGGCCUCUAUUUAUAACCUAAGUGUCACAUAAAAUUGGAGGGAAAUUUGAAUUUCUAUUUAAAUUUUACUUGAAUUUGAAAUUGAAUUUGUGGAGCCAAAAUUUCACUAAUUAUGAUUAGUAAAUUUUAGUCUUGGUUCAGCCCACUAAUCCAAGAUCAAGUCCAAGAUUCUCCACUAAGUGUGCUUAGGUGUCAUGAGACAUGUAAAGCAUGAAGGACAUGCACAAGUGUGACUAUACGAUGUGGAAAUGAGGUGUAGCAAGUAAAUGUUCACCUCCCCCUCUAAAAUUUAAUUGGAUUAGGCUUCUCCCAAUUCAAUUAAAUUUAUUUACCAACACACACAUCAAAUAUUCACUCAAUGCAUGUGAAAUUACAAAACUACUCCUAAUACAAAAACUAGUCUAGCUGCCCUAAAAUACAAGGGCUGAAAAAUCCUACAUUUCAAGGGUACCCUACCUACAUUAUGGAGCCCUAAAUACAAGGUCCAAAAAUAAUGAAACCUUAAUCUAAUAUGUACAAAGAUAAGUGGGCUCAUACUUAGCCCAUGGGCCCGAAAUCUAUCCUAAGGCUCAUGAGAAUCCUAGGGUCUUCUCUUGCAUCUCUGGCCCAAUCUACUAGGAGUCUUCUAUCCAAUGCCUUUGCGGGGUAGGAUUGCAUCAGGGAGGUUGCAGCCCCAGGGACAGUGCUACUGAUUCUUGUCAAACCAUAAGGGGCAUGAUUAUGCUUGGUUUUUGCUUGUUGGGUAUAUCUAAAUAAAAUAAUAUAUAACAAAAUUCUCAUCAAGCCAUGUAGUAAUUGCUACUGAAUUGUAGAAUUGAGCAGCUCAAAACAGUGUUGAUUCUUCUUCCCCAACCUUGGAGGAUAAUGAAAUCUUUCAUUCUGAUAAGCAAUAUCAUGUAGAAGAAGAAUCAAUGGCAGAAGGUUCAAAAGAUCAAGUUUUAUUGAGUAGCAAUUCAUAUUGUUUUGGUGGGUCAGAUAAUGGUAUGAAAGGCAAUGUUCUAAAAAAUGAAACAUUGAAGAAUAUGAGGUCUGUAAGAGAGCAAUAGAAAAUGAAGUGAACCUCCUGAAUUUAGAGAGCACCGAUUUAGAUAAAGGGUCCUAUGAGCAGAGACCAUCAUCAUUUGCCCCCAAAGCCUAUGAGAUGGAAGGCUCUUGCAGCUCUAAGAUUAACAACACCAAAAACGACAGCAACUUGAUGUCCAAUUGUUCCAACAAAGACAUGCUCCUAGACAGCUACACCACUAGUUGGCAACCCUGAGAUUUGAUGUGAAAUUACCCUCUUAAUAUCAAAAACAGAAUGAAGAGAAAGAAUAGAAAAGUGUUGUGUGCUGUAAGGGAGAGGAAAGGUAUUGCAAAUUUGUCAACUGAGUGGGAGAAGAAAGGUGUCUCUUGAAGAUAAGAGAAGGCAAAAAAAACCUCAUGAAAUGAAGGUUUUCUAUGCACUGGAUAAUGCAAUAGAACCCACAAAAUUGCGAGCCUUCAACUUUCAGAAAAAUGACAAUCUCACAAGCAAGCUAGUUUGUUCUUCAACCCUCUGGUAUAAUCCCACUCUGCAGCAAUCCUACACUGAUACUACCUAAUGUACAAUUGUAAAUGCUCGAGCUAGUUAGUAAAAAUACUAAUAGCAUCAUAGCAACACAUAAAUACCACUAUCCUUGUUACGGGUGAAAAGAUUUUAAAAUUUUCAUCAUAAUAUCAAAUACACGUGUAUGGAUUGCUUUAGUACAGAUAUUUGAACUUACAAAAUUAUAAAUUGAUUCCUACAUUUUUCUUGGUAAACCAGACUCAGGCCAAUUGAGAUAUUCUGGGAAUUGAAGUUGCUUAAUCAAGGUCUGGAAUUACUAUUUCCCAAUAAACUAUGCUCUUGGUAUUCUUGAAGAAAAUGGAAUGGUGAAUUGUAAACCAUUAGAUAAUCCCACAUAUCAAGAUAUUGGAGUUUGGCAGAAAGCUAAACUAAUCCAAGUAGAUAUUGGAGUUUGGCAGAAAGCUAAACUAAUCCAAUUGUAACAAGACCAACCAUCUUUUGUUGUAAGUGUGGUCAUUAGAAUGCAAAUGUCAUAAUUCUGAUAUUUCUUAGAGGAUCACUAGUAAAAGGAUUUAUUAGUGUUUUUGAACAGAGGGCAUAAGGAGAUUAUUACCUAUACUUAGUAGGAGAUCUACCUAUGGAUAUUGUGUUCUAUUUGGAGUGAAUCUCUUUCAUGGAAAACCUUAAGAAGCAAAAUAUGGUUGCAAGGUCCAGAGCUGAAGCAAAAUAUCAAGCUAUGACUCUCACUACUUAUGAACUAAUAUGUCUAAAAACAAAUAAAUGACUCAUUAAAGAGCUAAAAUUUUGUGAGGUUGGAAUUGAGACACAUUUGUGAUAAUCAAGCAGCCCUUCAUAUUACAUCUAACCCAGUUUUUUAUGAGCAUACCAAACAUAUAGAGAUCGAUUACCUUUUAUAUUUCUGAGAAGAUAGACUCCAGAUAAAUUAGGACAUAUUUUGUUAACUUCAAAUAAUCAAUUGGUUGAUCUGCUCACUAAUGCUCUUUAUGGACAAGGGAUUUCUUAUUUCUAGCCAAAACAAUAAAAUUAAAGGCAAGAAAAAAUUACCUCAAGACAAGGGAAAGAGGUUUUAAUGUCACUCACACCGGUCCAUGUUCAUAGCAUAUAGGAUCCUGCAUGUAAAACAAAUAAUUCUCUAAAAUGAAGUUAAGUAAACAACCACUUAAUUGAAAAGAUAUAUCCUGAAGGUAACUGUAACAGCUAGUGUUUGGUAUAUUGAGUUCAAUCAAGAAAUAUGCAAACCCCUAGUAGUGGAAUACCUGUUGGAGUAGUGAUCAAUGCCGGGAAAUUGAUGACGUCUAUCCCUUGGUCAUCGAACUUGUACUAGAGAUGGUAGUUGUCUGCAAAUAUCAAAAAGACUCGAUGUCAUGCUACAGAGGGAAAAUGGUGGAAGGUAUUAUACCAAUUUAUAGGGCAUAUGUCAACAAUUAUUGUUUGUCAAUAGAAAAUGAUGCUAAGGUUGACAAGAAUAUGAAAUAUACGGUGCAGAGUUUGGAGAACAAGAUUAGGUCUCUAUUUUAGCCGAAGCAGAGGAAAGGUAGUAGCAUUAAAUAGGCACACUUGAUUAGUAAAAUAAAAGAAGUCAGUCAUCAAUUUCGCUUGACUCUAGCUUCUCUAUAAUGCUUUUCCUUGUACUUGCAAUUACAGACUUGACUGUAGCUACUCUAUAAUGCUUUUCGCUUGACUCUAGUUGCUCUAUAAUGUUUGGAGAACAACUACUACUACUAACAAUUACAGACCUGACUCUAUUGAAUCUGUAUUGAUGACUUUGCCUUCAAUUUCAUCAAGUAUAGUCAGUGCCUGAAUGAAGAAACAGGUAGUUCUAUCUAGCUCUGUACUUGGUCUUAAGAUUCCAAAGCUAAGUAAACAUUAAUUCUUGUGCAAAACUAAACAAUAUCCAGUCAGUCAAAUGGGAUGUUUCCCUUAGUACUAUGGCAAAGGGUUUGUUGUGUCCAGUGUUUUAUGCCAAACCCUUUGUAAAGUAAAUAUGAGGUUAAUUGCAUAAAAAAGUGAAAUAAAGCUCAGAGUAGGCAAUCCUAUCUUAAAUCUUACCCUUUCCUUGAUGUCACCCAAAGUCGGCAAGUACAGCUUAUAGAAUUCCUCUCUGAAUGCAACCACAAACCUAAAUAAACUUUAGAAACCACCAAGAAUAAGACAAUUAGGAUUCGUUUGAUUUGUAUAAAUUUAAGGGACAACACAACAAAAUAUUACAUAUGCAUACAUUCAAACUUUAUUGACUCACUAAUCUUAUAUUUCCUCAAUGUGGGUGUUAGACAGAAACCAAACUAGGAUACAUCUACUAUUUUUUUCUUUUAUAUAUGUGAGGGAUUCGAAGAGUGUCAAGAUACCUAUACUACAUUAUAGUAUUUUCACUUUUAAAGGACUAAAGACGAGUAAUUGACCAUUAUCAUGUAUAGGGAUAACAACAUUUUAGGCCUUCACUGUGUUUUGUUCGAAAUCCUGGGGUCUAUAAAAACCCUCAACUAAUUAUAGGAAAAAAAACUAUUCAUAUGGAACUAAUUUAUUUUCAAAGUUUUGGACUAUACAAAUUUGACACAAACAUUCGAAGAAUCGAUAAGUUGUCAUGAUUGAGAGUGAAUGGAAACCAUAUUCCUUAUGCACACAAUGUUGUUGUAGUGACGUACCUCAAUCACGACAGAGACAAACUCGUUUAUGGUAGUUGUGGCUUCAACGACAGUCACAGGGUCAGGAAGAAGGAGAAAGGAGAAAGGAGAAAAGGGUUUGAGCGCGCGGGGGCCAAAAUGAAUUUGUGUUUUAAUUUAUGAAAAGAACAACAUCAAUUUUUUUAACAUAACUAAUGUUAACAUGAAGUACUUAAGAUCGGUUUUUUAAAACCCGAUGUUAACCUCAAGUACUUAACAUCGACUUUAUAAUGAUCGAUGUUAACCUCAUAUAGUUAACAUCGAGUUUUAAAAAACCGAUGUUAAUUAUAUGAGAUUAACAUCGGUUUUUGUCAAAACCGAUGUUAACUACUUGAUAUUAACAUCGGUUAUUUAAAUUUAAAUAAUCGAUGUUAAUCUCAAGUAGUUAACAUUGAUUUUGACAAAACCGAUAUUAACUAACUCGAUUUAUUUACGAAAAUAUCACCGUACUUUUCUUAACAUCGAGUUUCUAAAAAAUCAAUGUUAAUCGUGCGAUGUUAAAUCUAUAUUUUAUAAUAGUAAUAAUAUAUAUAUAUAUAUAUAUAUAUAUAUAUAUAUAUAUACGAGUAUUACACUCUUAAUCAAUCAAUUUUUGCGAUCCUCACACAAUAAAAGUUCUCUCUUCCACACUUUCUCCCUCUAUCGCUUGCACCUAUUGCUCAGAUACCUUUAUCGAAUAUGCAUGCAUGUAGUUAACCUUUCAUUGUAAAUCUUUACGUUACUUACACAUUUUCACUCCAUGAUAUAUACUACAAUGGCGUGUCAUGCUAUAUUAUUUGAAGAUUACCAACCAUAAAAGAAAAGAAACACCUAAAAUGGAAGGCUCAUUCAAUGGCAGGGAGCCAUGAAUAAUCUCAGCAACUAUAACGGUGUUAAACGCGAUCUCUAAACACACCUCCAACCACUAAUAAUAAUCACUGACCAAAUCUGAAAUCUCGGAGUGCAUUUCAAAAAAGAAAGUAAUGACCAAUAGAGCCAUGAAUGUACAAUUAGUCCCAAGCUAGGUAUUAUAAAUAAUGAGAGUAUGUGACAAGACUAACUCAGGCCUCCAAAUAUUUUCCUUUUUAGCUUUGAUUAGAGUGGCCUAGUUGUUGUUUUUCUCAAUGAGAAGGGCUUCCACUAUGCAUUGCGCACUUUGGCGCUUCUGUGUUCCCUUGUUGCUACUUGCUAGCUUCAGUUAUGCACCUUUUGUUUUGGCGACAACUGAAAUUUCAGGUCUGUGGCUCAUCCUAUUACUCACACAUUCAUUUUGUUAUACAUUAGUUUAUGAAAUAUGAUGUUUCUUUGUGUUAGUCCUUAAUAAAAAAAAAUUAUUCAUUUUAAUAUUUACAUUUAACAAAACAGUAUAAUCUCUAAUCUAAGGACUAAAAAAGAUUAAAUUUAAAUAUGGGUUAAUUUUAAAAAAAGUGUGGUAAUACCAAAAAGUAUAUAUAAGUGGCCGUAGUAGUUAGUACCUAUAUAUGAUCAGGUGUAGAAGAUUAGAUCCAUAUACUUGUCAUGCAUAUAAUUAGAAAUGAAAAUUUGUAUUAUUCAUGAAGUACUGUACGAAUUUCGCUGGCCUUCGUUUCAAGUAAAAAUUAAGAUCGACCCUUCAUACACAAGAUUCAGCCAAUGAAGGGUGCUAUUAAUUACUCUGACAGAUUUUAUUGUCUUCUGAAUUCAAUUCAAUCAUUUAUCUUGGCAUGCAGUAUAUGCGUGUGGAAUUAACUUGUGGUCUUCAGCGUGGCUCCCAUACAUAGACCAUGCAUAGUCCCCACAAAAAUAUUUUUGAAAAGAACUAUGGGGAUCCAGUACCUACCUGGUAGCUAGUUUUGGUCAUUAUAUAGCUAUUAUGAUUGGCGAUGAAUUUUUCAUUUUAUUUUUAUAUAUUUUUCUCUAUCAACACUUGAAAAAUAUCAAAUUUACUGGGUAUUACAAAAAUAUUUACUGUGUUUAACUUAUAUUUUCUUGUUUCUUAUUAUGUAGGGAAUGAAGUGAGCACUGAUGGAAAGGUUUUAAAUGAAGAGUUAGCAAAACCUAAUCUACAAGGACAUGAUGAAGAAGCAAAGUUUAAAGGAUUUAUUCCAAAGCCAAUUCCCAUAGUGAAGCCUAUUCCAAAACCAUUUCCCAUCAUUAAGCCUAUUCCAAAGAUAAUUCCUAUUGCUAAACCUAUUCCUAUUCCGAUUUAUAAGCCUAUAUCAAAAUCAAUUCCCAUUAUUAAGCCUGUUCCAAAGAUAAUCCCCAUUAUUAAACCAAUUCCAAUUAUUAAACCUGUACCAAAACCAAUUCCCAUUAUUAAGCCUGUCCCAAAACCAUUUAUAGUGAAAAAGCCUAUCCCUGUUGAGUCGGAGGAAUUUCUAAAACCAAAGCCUUUCUUCAAAAAGCCUAUUCCUAAACUACCACUUCACCCUAAAUUCAAGAAACCAAUUCUACCACCAUUGCCAAUUCACAAGCCAAUUCCAACUCCAUAAGAGGAUAAUACUCUAUAUCUCGAGCUAUAUAGUUAUCCGUUCCAUUUCUAAUGCCUUUAUAAGUAAAGCUGCAUCGUAUCUCAAUUAAAUUUCGUACUCUUCUCGUAUACUGUAAUGGAAAAUAAGUAGUUGAUGCUCUCUGUUCAAUGAAGUUCUCGGUGUUAUCAUGUGUAGAUCGAUUAUAUUAAUGCAAGAGAUUGUAUAUGCAGUUAUUACUUAUUAUUUAAAUAAUGUUUUUUAAUAGUUUUUCAGUUUUAUAUUUUAUGAAUAUAUACUUAAUUGUGAGAGAGAGUGGGGCUCAUCGAUAAAUGUAGCAAUUUCUGCGAGAGAUAUAUCUUAACAAUUACAUUUAUCAUGAAUAAUAUUACGACAAGUAAAUCACUAAAUUAGUUCUUAAAAUUUUAUAGUUCAAAUCAAACAUUUCAUUUAGUAAGAUUUUAAAAGCCCUCUGUUAGUCCUUCAGUUUAUAAUAAAAGCAAAAGAAAAUUCCUCUUCUGUAAUAUUUUAUCAUUAUAUCAUUUUGCACUAAAAAGAACUAAAGUGAAAAAAAUUUGCAAGAAAAUAAAAUCAGUAAAAUUUUUUUUUGUCAAAUUAGGGGAUUGACAAAAUUAAUUAAUUUAUAAGAUCAAAUAAAACUUACACAAAUAUUACUAAAAAGAAAAAAAAACAUCAAUUCAUAGUUUCCUGACAAUAAAUAUAUGUGUAUUUGUUUAUUUUGUACUCUUUUGUUUGUUAAAAGAAUUUAAUAGUAAAGUCUAAUUCAAACUUAUAAAACUAGGUUAAAUAUUUAUUAAUUCAUUAAACUUUAAAUUAAAUUUAAAACAAAACCGUCAACCACGUACAUGAGAUAAACUCUUAGGUAUCAUCUGUCGAAAUAAAUGGUGAUGUUUGAUAAUCUUUUUCAUUGUGCCUUUAAUGGCCCUAUCUAUUUUAGCUACAGUAGUUUAUCAAAUUUUCACCUCAUCAUUUUCGGCAUCUUUAGAGAUAAUUAUAAAAUUUUGCUUCUAAACAUUUGACAUUAAGUCAUUAAUUAUAACAAUUGAUAAAGCGUCAUAUGUACCACUCAUGUAUUCCUAUUCAGUUUGUUGUUUUUCACGUCAAAUGCUAUCAACUAUCAAGUAUGAUCUAGUCAACAUUAUGGGAUGAGACAAUCACUUCAAGCUGUCUUUGUCUUGAAUUGGGUUGCUUAAUUUGGGCCAUGUCAUUUUCUUGUUUGGUUCUUGAAAGGGAAUUACUUUGGGCACCCUACAGUUUUGCUGGGACACCCAGCACCCUAGGUGAAAGGGCCAAAAUGCCCUUCACCCUAUUAAUAUAAAUAGGGCUACAUUAAUUCUUUCGUCCUGUGCUUCUUCGUGCUACAGUAAUUCUGCCGUUCCGCCACAAUGCUUCUUCCUUCGUGCUGCGCUUCUUUCUCCUCGUGGUGGUCUCCUUCAUUCUCCUUCUACUUCUUCAUGUUGCGGUUCUUCUUCUUCAUGGUUGUGGUUCUUCUUUUUCCUCUUUCUCCACUUCCCGUGCGGCUAUGGUUUUUCUUCUUUCCUUCUUCUUCCUCCACUUCCCGCGCCCCUGUUCUUCUUCUUCCUCUCCAACAAAAAAAUGACAUUUUUCUAGGAAAACCCCAUAUGGAUAUGGUUCAUAUAGAUUGCUAAUUUGUAUGAGUUUUUUUUUUUUUUUUGUUGAAUAAUUUUGUUUCAAUUUUUCUUCUUCUAAAUUUGUUUUUUUUUAAUUUUUGAUUUUUGAAUUAUUAUUUAAAUUAUUUCGUAGUAUAAUGUUAUUUUGUAAUGUUAGUGAAAUUUUAUAAUUUUUUCUGAUUUAUAUGUUAAGUACUGAUUUUAUUUAUAAAAAAUAUAUUAGUUAUUACUAAGAUUAGAUUAGAUUGCUAAAAUUAAGAUUAGAUUGGUGAAACAAUUAAUUUUUAAUAUUGUUAUAUUAUAUUUGUCUAACUUUUAAAAAAAAUAAAACAAAUAUUUAAAAGAUAUUGAAUUUGUUACUUAUGAAAAAUAUUGAAAUCAUAAUUAAAAAUAAUUUAAAUUUUUUAGUUACAACAAACAUUUAAACAAAUUUUUUAAUAAUUUAAAUUUGUUAUAAAAAUAUUGAAACAUAAUUUUUAAUUGUACAAUAAAUCUGUUAGUUAUAAAAAUUAUGAAACCAAAAUUUAAAAUAUGAUAAGAUUUUUAGUUUAAGAUAAUGAUUGAAAUCAAAUAUGAAAAAAUAUUUGAUUUAGUAGUUAUAAAAAAUAUUGAAACCAAAAUUUAAAAUAUGAUAAGAUUGUUAGUUUAAGAUAAUGAUUGAAAUCAAAUUUAAAAAUAUAUUUGAUUUAGUAGUUAUAAAAAAUAUUGAAACCAAAAUUUAAAAUAUGAUGAGAUUGUUAGUUUAAGAUAAUGAUUGAAAUCAAAUUUAAAAAUAUAUUAAAUUUGUUAGUUAUAAGAAAUAUGAAAACCAAAAUUUAAAAUAUAAUAAGAUUGUUAGUUUAAGGUAAAAUUAAAUUUAAAAUAAUAUUUGAUUUUGUAGUUAUAAAAAAUAUUGAAAUUAAAAGUUAAAAUGUGAAAUAUGAUAAGAUUGAUAGUUUAAGAUAAUGAUUGAAAUCAAAUUUAAAAAUAUAUUAAAUUUGUUAGUGAUAAGAAAUAUGUAAACCAAAAUUUAAGAUAUGAUAAGAUUGUUAGUUUAAGGUAAUGAUUAAAAUUAAAUUUAAAAAUAUAUUUGAUUUUGUAGUUAUAAAAAAUAUUGAAACCAAAAUUUAAAAUAUGAUAAUAUUGUUAGUAUAAGAUAAUGAUUGAAAUCAAAUUUAAAAAUAUAUUAAAUUUGGUAGUUAUAAAAAAUAUUGAAACCAAAAUUUAAGAUUUAAAAUUUAUUUAUUAAUCCCUAUUAUUUAAUUUUUUCAAAAUUAUUUUUGUAGAAAUUUUUUAUUCAUUUAUUUUAUUUACAAAAUUUGAUAAUUAAAAAAAUCUGAUAUUUAAUUGAAUGAUGUAUUUAGAUUUUUAUUAUAAUGAUUAAAAAUUAAAUAAAUAUGAUAUUUAAUUGAAUGAUGUAUUUAGAUGUUUUUUUAUAGCAAUUGAUAAUGAAAUAAAUUUGAUAUUUUUUACAUCUGUAAAUACUUAUUAAACCUAUCAUUUUUAUUUAUAAUUUAUAUAUGUAAAAAAAUUAAUUAUUAUAUAAAAAUAAUCAUUACAAAAUUUAUUAUGUAAAUUUAAAUAUACAUUAAAUAUAAAUUAAAAAUUUUAGUAUUAUAUAUAACGACACUAUUUACUUAUAGCAUAAUAUGUCUAUUAGUUCAGUUGGUUUGAUUGUUAUAUUGAACCCUCUCUAUCAUACCUUUGGGAAAGUUAUUCUACUUACAAAAUGGAUCGUCAAUUCUAGAAGAAAGCAUAAAUACCUCCUCUCUAAUAUUUACCAACUUGAUCAUUAAGAACAAAGGCUCAAGACUCUUCAAUGUACUCUAAGCUUCUUUUUUUCUUUUUUUGCUAUGUAAAGACAACUUAUAUCAAUUACAAAAGUUAACUAGUAAUGAGCUAAAAAAAAAACAAAACUCUUCCCAACGUUGUAUUUUGUAAACGAAGAAAAUAAAUUAAAAUAUGCCAUGAUAAAGAAAAAGUUGCUGUCAAUAAUAUAAUAGAAGAUAGGAUAUCAUCAUCGUAAUUAUUGUAAAGUAGUGGUAUUUCUAAUGUUAUUUCUUAGUAUAUAAAGCUCAUCCAUUCAUGAAACCAUUUAUGUAUUUCAAGUAAUAUUUUCAAAUUCAGAUAAACAAUUAACUAAACUUUCUCCAAACUUACUCACCAAAUUAGUAUCAUUGUGUAUUGUUAAAUUUAUUAUACUACAUAAAUUUUUCAUCAUAUCCAAAUUAAUUUUUUAAUUGUUAUUAAAGAACUUUCUAAUUAUUAAAAACUAUGUAAGGACACAUUUUUGUAACAGAUCUACUUAGCAUUUUUUGAAGUUGUUUGAUUAUGUUAUUACUUCACCCUUAAUUUUCGAUUCUUUGGUUUUCAUGAAGGUAUGCAUUGCAGAAUGGAGGUGCAGUGGAAUUUUCACUUGAAUUUUUUUUACUGAAAAUGUUCACACAAUCGAAGACCCAUAAUUGCAUUUUUUAUUAUUUAAAUUCUCGAUCUCUCUUUAGCUUUAAAUUAAGGGUAAAUUUUCAUUAGUUAAAUAUAAUGUCAAAUAAGGAUAUCUAAACUUUUAUUUGCAAUGAGUUUCUUCAAUUUUACGUGAUGGGAUUGUUUGCAUUUAUUUUAAUUGUUAUGUUUUGUCUAUUUUGAAGUUCUUUAUUGGCAAUGUAGGACAAAUCUUUUCUUAUGUCUUGGAUUAUGUGUUAGACAGUAAGCAAAAUCUCAUCAUCAUCUCCAUUUAUUGCAAGUAUAUAUGCUUGCAAUAGCAUUAUGCUAUGUUAGAUGAUUAAAAGAGAUGUAUUCUAUAUAUCAAUUUUUAAAUCACUAAUAUAAAUAUGUUCAGAAGAGAUAUUUUUAUUUUAAAUAUAAGAAUAUUUUUGGAUUUAUUUUUUGGGGUCUUCAAAUGUGUGAUGUUACAUUUGGCCAUAGGAGAUAUAUAUGGAUUGAUGUGCUCCAAAUGGAUGAAGUCAUACAAGAAACACCUUUCUCUAAUCAUUCUCUUUAGAUCAUCUAUCAAAAUUAUUCGUUCCACUUUGAUUUUAACUUAGAGAUGUUGCUCCAAGUCAGCAUUUUCCUUUUCUCUUCAGAAUUAGCUCCGAAUCAAGUUCUUGUUGCAAGACUAUUUUUCAUCAAUUAAAACUAAAUAUUCCCAGCCUGCCAAGAAUGCCUUCAAGCUAUAUGUUAGAAAUUAGAAGUGUUAUUUCUCAUCUAAUUAAUACAACACAUCUCACAUAGUUUUAUGAACUUUUAGAAUGUUGGGAUUCAAUCAAUCAAUCUAAUUUGAUUCUAACAGGCAAUCAUCAAACUUAAUCACAUGUUUUCUCUUCAUGUAAAGAGAAAUUACUGUAUAAAGAUGAAUAGAACCCCUCUGUGUUCUCAUACUCAAAAUCUUGAUGAAAACUAAGCUGUGGAAGUGUACCUGGAUUAACCAUAGUGGAAUGAUGAUGAAAAGUUGAUCAGAAGAUUGAUUUUAUGACCUUCCAAAUGUAGAGAGUCUUUUUUUUUUUUUUUUCUUCUUCUCUUAAAGUUUUAUCUUUAUGAAGUGUACAUGUUGGUUUGACUUAAGUUGCUUUCUACAAAUGGGGACCAUAACCCCUUAAGCCCCUUAUCAAAUUAACAAUAUCACUAGUAUCUACACAAUUAACCUUUCAUGAUAUCCCCUAGCCAUAUUUUUAUAUUGAUUAGACCAUUUUAAUAUUUUGGCUAAUUAUAUAAUGACCCUAACUCAUCAAAUUAUGUGAUAUAAACCCAAAAUUGCUACUAUAAAAAACUUCUAAUUUUUAAUUUAAAGCAUAAAAGUCUGAAAUAUUUACGUUGUCACCUAAGACAAAAAAUUCAUAGACUACGUUUUGGCCUAACUUAUUUAGAAGAUGAUCAAAAGUACAAAAUGAAAAUUAUUACACUGUCAAGUAUUUCAGUCUUAUAAAGUUACUUUUAUGUUUGAUAUAAAUACUUUCUUGUGACAAAAAUAAUAUUUGUUUUAAUAAUCAUGUCGUGAGUUUGCUUCUGUUUUGUAGAUUAUAUUCCCUUUUAAAAGUACUGAAACAAGAUUGAGCAAAGGUGUUCCCACUGAAAGUUGCCCUACAUUUUAUCAUAUAAGCAGUCUUUCAGAGGUGGAAACUUUUUGUUUGUAAAAACAUUUGAUAUUUGAAUACAGACUCAGACUCAUAGGUACAAGAUUAUUCUAAUUAUGCAAUUAUGUAUAUAUAUAUAUAUAUAUAUAUAUAUAUAUAUAUAUAUAUAUAUAUAUAUAUAUAUAUAUAUAUAUAUAUAUUACCAAAAGAAAUCUCUCUCUCUUGGUUAUUUAAAGAUAUCCAUAAAUUUUAAAAUGUUGUUGAUAAACUAAGAGGGUCAAUAAUUGAGUGCCUACAAGAAGAACAUAAAGACAUUUUUAUUUAACUUGAGGUCCAAUUCCUAUUAUUUUCAUGAAGAAAUAAUUCUUCACCUACAGAUCAAAUUCAUGAUUUGACAGAGGGAUCUCAAGAUGACAAAGCCUUCUCCAGCCUUGUUCUUUUGUUGGUGCAAUUGUCUUUUAUUGGACAAACUGUCAUCCCAAAAACCAUCAAGGAGAAGAUCCUUAGCUAUCUAAUAUAUUACUUUAAAUUAAUUUUUUCUAUUUGUUAUUUACUUUAAAUUUUAUUUGCAAAUUGUGGUAUAUUUUAGUCAAAAGGUGAUUAUUUCCUUUAAAUUCACAGAAAAAGUCAUACAAAUUUUGUAUAUUUUAUGAGUAUUAUAUUUUGUUUUGAAAGAAAAACUUAAUAUAUCCUGUAGAUUUUUAACAAAAAUAAUUUACAAAUAGGUUCUCUAACAUUUUGUAUUCACCGAAAGUAUAAAAGUCAUAAAAAAACCAUGAAAAGUCUUAUUAAUAAAGUGGAAAAAUCUAUUAUAAUAUCAUAAAAAGGUAAUUAAUAAAAUAAUAAUUAACAUUUAAAUUAUAUAAUUAAGAGUUUAAUGCACAUUCGCAUAUAUACUGUCAAUUUAACAUUUGUGUUAUUAUUGCUAUGGUGAUUUGUUAUUAAAUCAUUAUAUAAAAUACGUUACACUUGUAAUGUAUAACUUAUUUUCUUUUUAAUUAAAUAUUGAAAAUUAUGCAUAAAAAUGAUACCAUUAAAACUAGUAUAUUUAAUUUAUAUCUUAUAAUUUUAAAUAUUUUGGCAAGCUAUGCUAUUGGUGGUUAGUGUUUAUUUAUGGUUAAUUCGAUAACUUCUUCAUCGGUGACCCCAAUAAUAUAUAUAUAUAUAUAUAUAUAUAUAUAUAUAUAUAUAUAUAUAUAUAUAUAUCAGUCAUUAUUGAUUAUACCAUCAGUAUAACACUCUUAAUCAAUCAAUUUCUGCGAUCCUCACACAGUAAAAGUUCUCUCUCGCUUGCACCUAUUGCUCAGAUACCUUUAUCGAAUAUGCAUGCAUAUAGUUAACCUUUCAUUGUAAAUCUUUACGUUACUUACACAGUUACACUCCAUGAUAUAUACUACAAUGGCGUGUCAUGCUAUAUUAUUUGAAGAUUACCAACCAUAAAAGAAAAGAAACACCUAAAAUAGAAGGCUCAUUCAAUGGAAGGGAGCCAUGAAUAAUCUCAGCAACUAUAACGGUGUUAAACGCGAUCUCUCUAAACACACCUCCAACCACUCCCAAUAAUAAUAAUCACUGACCAAAUCUGAAAUCUCGGAGUGCAUUUCAAAAAGAAAGUAAUGACCAGUAGAGCCAUGAACGUACAAUUAGUUCCAAGCUAGGUAUUAUAAAUAAUGAGAGUAUGUGACAAGAGUAAUUCAAGCCUUCAAAUAUUUUCCUUUUUAGCUUUGAUUAGAGUGGCCUAGUUGUUGUUUUUCUCAAUGAGAAGGGUUUCCACUAUGCAUUGCGCACUUUGGCGCUUCUGUGUUCCCUUGUUGCUACUUGCUAGCUUCAGUUAUGCUCCUUUUGUUUUGGCCACUGAAAUUUCAGGUUUGUCGCUCAUCCUAUUACUCACACAUAUUCAUUUUGUUAUACAUUAUUUUAUGAAAUAUGAUGUUUCUUUGUGUUAGUCCUUAAUAAAAUAAAUUAUUCAUUUUAAUAUUUACAUUUGCCAAAACAGUAUAAUUUCUAAUCUAAGGACUUAAAAAGAUUAAAUUUAAAUAUGGGUUAAUUUUAAAAAAAAGUGUGGUAAUAUAUACCAAAAAGUAUAUACAAGUGGCCGUAGUAGUUAGUACCUAGAUAUGAUCAGGUGUAGAAGAUUAGAAUGAAAAUUUGUAUUAUUCAUGAAGUACUGUACGAAUGUCGCUGGCCUACGUUUCAAGUAAAAAUUAAGAUCUACCCUUCAUACACAAGAUUCAGCCAACGAAGGGUGCUUUUAAUUACUCUGACAGAUUUUAUUGCAUGUCUUCCGAAUUCAAUUCAAUCAUUUAUCUUGGCAUGCAGUAUAUGCGUGUGGAAUUAACUUGUGGUCUAUUGUUGAGCGUGGCUCCCAUACAUAGACCAUGCAUACUCCCCACAAAAAUAUGUUGAAAAGAACUAUGGGGAUCCAUGCCAGUACCUACCUGGUACCUAGUUUUCUUCAUUAUAUAGCUAUUAUGAUUGGCGAUGAAUUUUUCAAUAUAUUUAAUUUUGUAUUUAUAUAUUUUUUUCUCUAUCAACACUUGAAAAAUAUCAAAUUUACUGGGUAUUACAAAAGUAUUUACCGUGUUUAACUUAUAUUUUCUUGUUUCUUAUUAUGUAGGGAAUGAAGUGAGCACUGAUGGAAAGGUUUUAAAUGAAGAGUUAGCAAAACCUAAUCUACAAGGACAUGAUGAAGAAGCAAAGUUUAAAGGAUUUAUUCCAAAGCCAAUUCCCAUAGUGAAGCCUAUUCCAAAACCAUUUCCCAUCAUUAAGCCUAUUCCAAAGAUAAUUCCUAUCGCCAAACCUAUUCCUAUUCCGAUUUAUAAGCCUAUAUCAAAAUCAAUUCCCAUUAUUAAGCCUGUUCCAAAGAUAAUUCCCAUUAUUAAACCAAUUCCAAUUAUUAAACCUGUACCAAAACCAAUUCCCAUUAUUAAGCCUGUCCCAAAACCAUUUAUAGUGAAAAAGCCUAUCCCUGUUGAGUCGGAGGAAUUUCUAAAACCAAAGCCUUUCUUCAAAAAGCCUAUUCCUAAACUACCACUUCACCCUAAAUUCAAGAAACCAAUUCUACCAUCAUUGCCAAUUCACAAGCCAAUUCCA
This 22202-nucleotide long non-coding RNA is filed under the name Glycine max (soybean). RNAcentral's name for it is "long non-coding RNA (GMAX_LNC003544)". The record is from RNAcentral. Lineage: Eukaryota; Viridiplantae; Streptophyta; Magnoliopsida; Fabales; Fabaceae.